Molecule: non-coding RNA, 150 nt
Organism: Nelumbo nucifera (sacred lotus)
Lineage: Eukaryota; Viridiplantae; Streptophyta; Magnoliopsida; Proteales; Nelumbonaceae
Source: Rfam
AGGAGCUGUGUGAGAUGAAAGUCUCAUUCACAGUUUUGAAUGAGAGAAAUAAGUGAGAAAUCCCCAUUUCAACUGUGACUCCCCCGCUUUAGUCAUUGCUUUUCUUUUUGUUACUCCAAAAGCAGUUGCUUUAGCUUCAUCCACUCGAAU